Molecule: small nuclear RNA, 159 nt
Organism: Carcharodon carcharias (great white shark)
Lineage: Eukaryota; Metazoa; Chordata; Chondrichthyes; Lamniformes; Lamnidae
Product: U1 spliceosomal RNA
Exons: 1
Source: RefSeq, a predicted model, not a curated record
AGAAUGGCAGCGGAGAAACUAUGAUCAGGAAGGUUGUGCUCCCAGGAUUAGGUGAUCCCAUUGCACUCUGGGUGUGCUGACGCCUGCGAUGUCCCAAAAUGCGGGAUACUUGACUGCAAAAUUUGUGGUCGUGGGGGGCUGCGUUCUCGCUCUCCCCAG